Polyodon spathula (Mississippi paddlefish) is the source of this 7793-nucleotide RNA transcript. It is a transcript of the gene named protein SON-like, with no coding region annotated. The record is from RefSeq and is a predicted model, not a curated record. The transcript is spliced from 11 exons. NCBI's taxonomy places the organism in Eukaryota, Metazoa, Chordata, Actinopteri, Acipenseriformes, Polyodontidae.
AUGCUGGGAUAGCGGAGGACCGCGCGUCUUGUUCCAGGUGUCAUGGCGACGAACAUCGAGCAGAUUUUCCGUGAUUUCGUAAUGAAUAAAAUCAAAGAAAUCCAAGACGAAGAGCAACACACCGGUGUGGAGAGCGAUGCCCAGCCAAAUGGAGGUGUGAUCCCUGAUUUGGAUAAGAAAGAUGCCAGCGAUGAGGCUCCUGGGAUCGAAGGAAACCAGGAAGAGCUGACCCUGACAACAGAAAGUGUUCAGUCCGGAACUGUUGAGGGGCAAGAGAGCUCUCAGCCUGAUACAGAAGCCAAUGUGAUUGCAGAGAGCUCGCAGGCUGGAGAAGAGAGUGGCAGCAAAGAAGGGAGCGAGACCCCCAGGAAGAAGAACAAGAAGCACAAGAGACACAAGAGCAAGAAGAAGAAGAAGAAACGGAAGGAGGAGAAGAGGUCCCGCUCCCGAUCGGGUAGCAGCUCGGAGUCUGGAGUGGAGUCUGACUCGGAACUGCGGUCACGCUCCAGUGUGAAGAGUGCCAAUGUGAUUCCUAUUGUGAAGGAGACUGGGGCCAGCGAAGAGGCUCCCAUCGCCCACAGGGCACAGAAGGGAGAGGUUGAACAGAAAAUGAAACAGGACCUUUCUGGGACUGCAGAGGAACAAGGGAACACACAGCCAGCUGGAGAAGAGAGUGGUGGUGAAACACGCAGAAGCAAAUCCAAGAAACAAAAAAAGCAUGCAAACAAGAAAAAGAAAAAGAAGAAAAAAAAGGAGGAGAAAGAAGAGAAGCGAUCACCAUCUCGCUCCAGAUCGGAAAGCACUUCAGGAUCUGGGACAGAUUCUGAAUCUGAAUUGAAAAGGUUUCCGUUGGAUUCUCUGUUAAACUCCUCAGACAGCCAGGUGGACAGGCCUGGUGCUGCUGUUGAUAAAGUGGUUGACACUUGUACGUCACUGGAGCCAAGACCUGAGAAGGAUUUAAGUCCUCCUACAGGGGUGGUAUCUGACACUAGUGUCAGUGAAAUGCAACUUCCAGCAGGCAUUACAGAAGUUUCCAUCUCAAAACAAAAUGGUUGUUCAUCAGGAGAGAUUAUCAUUGCCCCUGUUCAUGCAGAUGUUUUCGACUCUACUAAAGGUAAGGACUCCGAUGAUUUUGUUGUGAAACCUGAGGAAGAGCAAGCUGAACUUGCUAAAGAGACUGAAACAAAGAAAGAUGUGAGUAACCCGCUGGCAGUUAAAAGAGAAAGCAGUGAAGUGAAAAAGACAAGAGAAAGUCUUUCAAGGUCUCGAUCCUGUUCAAGAUCCAAGAAACGCAGCUCUAGACGGACCCCAUCUAAGAAGAGUCGCAGCCGGUCAAGGAGCAGGCAACGUGCUUUAGGAAAGUUUAGCUCAAGAAGGGGUCGUUCCUCAUCAAGAAGACAAUCAAGGUCGACUUCUAAAAAGAAGCGAAGUCAAUCUUCACCCAAGUCUAAAAAAAGGCAUUCCAGAUCAAGAUCAGUCAAGCGUAGAUCGAGGUCUCGCCUAAAGUUAAGCCGUAAAUCGAGAUCGGUAUCCCUUAAAAGGUCUAAGCGCUCAAAGUCUAGGUCUCGCACAAGAAACAGAAGAUCUAGAUCGGCCAAGCGUAAGCGUUCAAAAUCUAGAUCCCAAUCGCGAAACAAGUGUUCAAAGUCAAAAUCGAGGUCUAGGUCACCAAGACGAAGAAAGCGAACAUGUUCUAGAUCCCAACGUAGAACCAGACGGUCAAAAUCUAGGUCCCACUCAAGAACCAGACAGUCUAAAUCUAGGUCCAUCACAAGGAACAGGCGUUCAAGAUCUAGAUCACCCAGACGAAUCAAGCGAUCUCGUUCCAGAUGCAUAAUAAGAAACAGACGUUCAAAAUCUAGGUCACCCAGGAGAAACAGGCGGUCUAAAUCUAAGUCACCUUGGCGAAGCAGGCGCUCAAGAUCUAGAUCCCCCAGGAGAAACAGGCACUCAAAAUCUAGAUCCCCCAGGAGAAACAGGCACUCAAAAUCUAGAUCCCCCAGGAGAAACAGGCACUCAAAAUCUAGAUCCCCCAGGAGAAACAGGCACUCAAAAUCUAGAUCUCCAGCAAGACGCAUGAGGAGGAGUAGAGCUAAAUCAAAAUCACAGAGACGAAAUAAGCGAUCAAAGUCUAGAUCCCUAAGCAGACAUAGGAGGUCUAAAUCUAAAUCACCCAAACAAAAAAGACACUCAAAAUCUAAGUCUCCCAAAAGAAACAAGUGUUCAAAAUCAAAGUCUCCUACAAGAAACAAGCUCUCCAAAUCUAGAUACCCCUCAAAGGACAACAGAUCAGAAUCUAGAUCCCCCUCAAAGGACAAGAUGUCAAAAUCUGGAUCCCCCUCAAAGGACAAGAUGCCACAAUCUAGAUCCCCCUCAAAGGACAAGAUGCCACAAUCUAGAUCCCCCUCAAAGGACAAGAUGUCUAAAUCUAGAUCCCCCUCAAAGGACAAGAUGUCUAAAUCUAGAUCCCCCUCAAAGGACAAGAUGUCUAAAUCUAGAUCCCCCUCAAAGGACAAGAUGUCUAAAUCUAGAUCCCCCUCAAAGGACAGUAGAUCAGAAUCUAGAUCCCCCUCAAAGGACAAAAGAUCAAAAUCUAGAUCCCCCUCAAAUGACGAGAGAUCCAAAUCUGGAUCACCCUCCAAAGACCAGAGAUCCCAGUCUAGAUCACCCUCCAAAGACCAGAGAUCCCAGUCUAGAUCACCCUCCAAAGACCAGAGAUCCCAGUCUAGAUCACCCUCCAAAGACCAGAGAUCCAAAUCUAGAUUGCCAUCAGAACAUGAGAGAUCCAAAUCUAGAUCGCCCUCAGAUCACGAGAGAUCCAAAUCUAGGUCGCCCUCAAAACACGAGAGAUCCCAAUCUAGAUCGCCCUCAAAAGACAAGAGAUCCCAAUCUAGAUCCCCAGAAAGAAGCAAGCUCUCAGGAAGUAAAUCGCCAACCAAAGAGUUCACAAAGUAUAAAUCUGGAUCCCCUGCCAAAGACCAGUGCUCCAAAUCUAUAACCCCAUUAAAUGUAGAAAUAUCUACUUCCCCCAAACCAGAAACGGCAUUGGGACCAGUGUAUCCAACAACAGAUAUAUCUACAGGACCUCUCUGUGCAAUGAUGGAAGAAGAUUCAAUGCCACAGUCUUUUGCGGCAGACAGAUUUUCAAAGUCUGGAUCUCCCAUUAAAGUUGAUUGGUCAGAAUUAGAAUUUCCACUGACCAAUUCACCUUCUCUUGUGAACAGAGAAUGCAUAGAAGUUUCUUCACUGAUUAAAGACACAGAGUCUAAUAUUAUGACAGACGCUACAUGGACAGCAUUGUCCCCUAUGACAGCAAACUGUUUAACAACUGAAAGCACCACAACAGAUGAGCAUCCAGUAAGAUCGGCAUAUCCCUCAGUAGAUAGUAGUUACAAUACCAGUUCUUUGUUGAGGGAAAAGUCCCCACCAUCUGUAUCCUCAGAGUUUUCUGAAAGUGGGUCUCCAAAACCACAGCAGUGCUCAAGAUCGGAAAUAACAGAAAAGGACUUCACUCUUAAAUCACCUCCAUCUAUAGACAGACCUUUAACAUCCACUUUGACCCACACUUGUGAUCAGAAACCUGAAUUUCCCAUGUCGGACAAGUGCUUUAAAUUAGAAUCCUCCAAGUCAGACGGUAACUCACAAUCCAAAUCGCCAGCAACACAGAGUAAUUUGAGAUCUACAUCACCAGUAAAUGACGAGUCCUCUAAAUCUAGGUCUCCUGUAUCAGAUCGGUGUUCAAAGUCUGAAUCCCCUACAAGGGAAGAUACUUCAGCAUCAACUGCUGACAGACAAUCUGAGUCUAAACCUACAGUGGCAGACAUUUUUACAGGGUGUAGUACUCCUUGUAUAAGUCAACCUCAUAGUUCUUGCCCCCCUACAGCAGAGAUGCCUUCAGAAUCUUUAUCCCCAACUCGAGACACUUGUUCUCGAUCUCUAUCUCCGGCAUUGGAGGAUUUUCCAACAUCUUUGCCCGAGACGGAUGGAUGUCCAAAAUCUCCCAUUAGAGAAAAGCAUUCAGAAUCCCCAGGGCUAGAACAGAGCUCACAAUCUAAGUCUCCUGCAGAAAGUGCAUGUACUAAACCUGAAGUACCUACAAAAAUUGAUCGUUCAAAAUCUCGGUCUCCUCCGACAAACACUAAGUCCUCCACUAGAAACAAGAGUUCAAAAUCUAGAUCCCCCUCAGUAAAGAAACACUCAAAGUCCUCCAAGCAGAAGAACUGUUCCAGGUCUGGAUCUCCUGCUAAAAAGUCAAAGUCUCCAUCAAGGAGGAAGAGAUCUAGAUCCCCAGUGAGAAAGAAGCGUUCCAGAUCUAGAUCUUCCAGUCAGAAGAGGAGGUCUAAAUCGAGAUCACCUGCAAGAAAGAGAUCAAAAUCUAGAUCCCCCAUAAGAAGAAAGAGGUCUAGGUCCGAUACAAGAAGGAAGCGAUCAAAAUCCAGAUCCCCUAAAAGAAGGCGAUCAAAAUCGAGAUCGCCUUUUAGAAAGAAGCGGUCGAAAUCCAGGUCCCGUGGAAGGAACAGACGUUCAAAAUCGAGAUCGCCUGCAAGAAGAAAAAGGUCAAGAUCUAAAUCCCCUGCAAAGAAGCGCUCAAGAUCAGCCACUCGAGCAAGACGCUCAAGGUCCAAGCACAGAUCAAGGACUCGCUCCAUCUCAAGACCCCGAAGAAAAUCGCGCUCAGUGUCUCGAGACAGGAGGUCUCGCUCUGCAGAGAGGAGGAGGAGAACCAGGUAUCGGAGCAGGUCCAUUGAGCGCUGGAGGAGGUCCAGGUCCUUCAACAGGAGGAGGGUCUCCAGGUCUCCGGUGUUGCUGCUGAGGAGGAGAAGGUCAAUAUCCAGGACCCGGAGGAGCCCCAGCAAGACCCCUCCACGCCUCACAGAGCUGGAUAAGGCCCAGCUGCUGGAGAUAGCGAAAGCUAACGCUGCUGCCAUGUGUGCCAAGGCUGGUGUGCCCAUACCCCAGAGCCUGAAACCUACUGUCAUAAUGCAGCUGCCGUUACCACUGCCAAUCCCCCUGCCUGUUGAGGAGAAGAAGAAGGUUGUCCAGAAAGUGACCAACAGCACCAUUCUGGAGCUCACAGAGAAGUGCAAGCAGAUCGCAGAGAGCAAGGAGGACGAGAAUGAGGUGUUGAACAAGCCGCACGUGUCUGAUGAUGAAGAGGAGGAGCAGCCCUUCGGAGGCCAGGGUGCCAGGCUGGGAGAGCUCAAGGGCAUUUCCUUCAGUCUCAGUAACCCCUCAGUGAAAACGGCUGCCAGGACAGAGGUGGCACUGACCAAGGACUUCCCAGUGUCCUCGGGCUCGCAGCACAGGAAGAAAGAGGGAGACGGUGCCUAUGGGGAGUGGGUUCUUGUCGACAAGGGGGCCGAGAAGGAAAGCAAGGACGACGUCUUCACAGACACACCUGUGCAGCCUGUGGACAUCACACUGGCAAUGAACGAGAGAGCCGUGGCACAGAAGAAGCUGGCAGAAAACCCCUUCGAUAUCAACGCCAUUUGUAUGCUGAGUCGAGCACAGGAGCAGGUGGACGCGUGGGCCCAGUCCAGCAACCUGCCGGGCCGCUUCACAGGGAGCACCGGCGCCCAGGUCCUGUCUGCAGAAGAGCUCUCCUCCAGUGGACCCCAAGCCUGGAUACGAAAGGUAACCCUCCACUCCACAGCCAGCCCGGUUUCAUAGAACCUGUGAUCGGUAACCCUCCACCUGCAACUCGCAGGGCAUCUCCAGUGGUUAGACAGCCUGUAGGCAUCAGUAAGAGAUCUGCAGAUGCUCAAUGAACAGGGCACACAUAUUGAACACAGCAGUGAAGAACAGCUUGAUGACACAGGCAGUACACAUACUGCUUACCAUGCCUUGCAAUAACUACAUAAUCGUCUCACGAAUUUAUUUUUGAGAGAGUAAAACUAGAUGACUAAUGGAGGCAGUACACAUAGAAUAAAUACAAUGACAGUGUGCUGUCUGCUGCAUGCAGAAGAUCUGGGAAGUUUUUCUUGGUGUGGUGUUGGUACAGUGUAAUAAUAAUAAUAAUGUUUAUUGCCUUGUGUGAACCAAGUCCUGUUUAAAGUGGAUUGCUUGUGCACACUAACAUUACGAAGUUGGAAAUGGCCAGCUUUAUUGUAAAUCCCGCCUUUGUAUAGAAGAGUGCUGGUAGUGUGAAAUUUAUGUUUUUAUUCCUUUAAAUCUGGGUUAGUAUCUCUUGAUUUGAAAUGGGAUUUUGUGAAAUGAAUUGGGGUGAGAUAAUAAGAGAGGGGUGGGGUGAGAAAGGGGAUAAAUCCUUCCGCCAAAGUAAUCUUUUACAAUACCUGCAUCAUACUGUGUAUUUGAAUUACAAAAUCCAGUUUUGAUCAGCAGCACACAUUUAUAUUUGAGAUUAGAAACCUCUUAAUGUUUUCCUCUCUCAGUUGAGCACCCCACAGCUGUACUUCAGAAACAUCCACUUCACAAGUUAGUUUGUUCUGUUUUCACCCAAGUUCUGCCUCUGCUCCACAGCAUGCUGAAUGCUACCUGAACCCAGCCCCUGUUCAGUGGUGUUUAACCCUGUCUCGAGAGCGUAAGGAUCUCUUGAUGUCUGUUUCAUGUAUUUUCAUUGAUGUAAACAAUUCACUAAUCUCUGGAUCUACUUCCUUUGUUUGGUUUUCAUGAAAGAAGAGCAGAACUUCAGAACUUUGGUCAAAUAUUGCACUUAGUUUUUGCCAAGUGCAUUGAGAUUCUAUCACUGGAGUCAAUGCCCCUUGUAAGCCUUCAUUAUAUUGGACAUGUUGAGCUGCUAACGACCAGGUUGAAAUAUUUGAGUAGUUGGUAGCAAACAACACUAUUACUCAUUUGACUCAUCAGUUUAGAACUGAUUUGAAGGGCCUAACUGAAACAGCUGUAAUCUUUUUAAAGCUUUACCACAGUGAUUAGACAUCCCUGUGGGUGGCAUUCAUGUGCCACUUGAUUCCAUUUUAAAGAUAUGUCUGUGGUUUCAUGAAGACCAGCAUUUCUGAUCUCCCAGAGAUGUUUUAGUUUGUGAACUGGCUACACCACUGAAGAGAAUGAAACAGAUGUUGAUGUUGAAAUUCUAUCAAAGCAGGUACAAAACGGGAUGGGAACCCCUGAGCCCCUGUGACUGGGGGUUUGUGUCAGGCUCUGCAUGGUGGCCUCUUUGGUAUAAAGAGGUUCCUUGGGAAAGAGGGGAGGAGGAAAGCUGGAAGUAAGUACCCCCGUAGCACCGCCCACUGCCAGCUGUACUGACUGAGGCUACCGCAGCUGCUGUGAAGAUGAGGGGGUUCCUAGCAGAGCGACAAACUGGGCAAGAGGUGGACCUGACCUGAAAUGAAAAGGCAUCCUGUGUUUCCAUGAGCUGUGAUCCUCCUAGUAUCCCUCCCCAAAAUCAUCCAGGCUUUUUGAAAUGCUUAAGGAUGUUUUAUAUGCACACCUUGUGUUGUGCACUCAGCUUUGCACCGGUAACAUGAAGACUUUCAAAUCUAACAGACGUGCAUUAUAAACAGUGUCACUAUAUGCGGUUUAUGGCGUUUGCAAUGAAAUGUGGGUUGUCAGCGUGUUUGACUAUAAAGAGGAGACGCCUGGCUACCUGGUAAUUUUAGCAGUGGUCUAGUAAAGGGGGUAUGUGUCUGUUUGGGGUGGGUUGGGUAGAGGAGAGAGGUGAACGUUCACAGACUGACCUGUGAACUUUCACCCCUCUGUAUGGAAACUUGUUGCAGGGUCAAUCCUUGUAGCUGCCUUGUUGCCAUGGUCACUGUCAGGCCCUUCUAAUCACAACAGACCACGGCCGCUGAGGCCUAGGACCAGUUCCUGCGGGC